AGGACGAACGCUGGCGGCGUGCUUAACACAUGCAAGUCGAGCGGAAAGGCCCUUCGGGGUACUCGAGCGGCGAACGGGUGAGUAACACGUGAGUAAUCUGCCCCUAGCUCUGGGAUAGCUCCGGGAAAACCGGGAUUAAUACCAGAUACGACCACUUUAGACAUCUGUUGUGGUGGAAAGAAUUUUGGCUAGGGAUGAGCUCGCGGCCUAUCAGCUUGUUGGUGAGGUAACGGCUCACCAAGGCGACGACGGGUAGCCGGCCUGAGAGGGCGACCGGCCACACUGGGACUGAGACACGGCCCAGACUCCUACGGGAGGCAGCAGUGGGGAAUAUUGCGCAAUGGGCGAAAGCCUGACGCAGCGACGCCGCGUGGGGGAUGAAGGCCUUCGGGUUGUAAACCCCUUUCAGCAGGGACGAAGCGAAAGUGACGGUACCUGCAGAAGAAGCGCCGGCUAACUACGCGCCAGCAGCCGC
Molecule: ribosomal RNA, 475 nt
Filed under: uncultured bacterium
Lineage: Bacteria
Description: SSU rRNA
Rfam family: Bacterial small subunit ribosomal RNA
Source: RNAcentral